AUUGAACGCUGGCGGCAGGCCUAACACAUGCAAGUCGAGCGGGGUUUUCGGACCUAGCGGCGGACGGGUGAGUAAUGCGUAGGAAGCUACCCGAUAGAGGGGGAUACCAGUUGGAAACGACUGUUAAUACCGCAUAAUGUCUACGGACCAAAGUGUGGGACCUUCGGGCCACAUGCUAUCGGAUGCGCCUACGUGGGAUUAGCUAGUUGGUGGGUAAUGGCUCACCAAGGCGACGAUCCCUAGCUGGUUUGAGAGGAUGAUCAGCCACACUGGAACUGAGACACGGUCCAGACUCCUACGGAGGCAGCAGUGGGGAAUAUUGGACAAUGGCGCAAGCCUGAUCCAGCCAUGCCGCGUGUGUGAAGAAGGCCUCGGUUG
This 378-nucleotide ribosomal RNA is filed under the name uncultured bacterium. RNAcentral describes it as "bacterial SSU rRNA". It matches the Rfam family "Bacterial small subunit ribosomal RNA", at positions 30 to 425 of the family's 1533-position model. The record is from RNAcentral.